CCUACGGGAGGCAGCAGUGGGGAAUAUUGCACAAUGGGCGCAAGCCUGAUGCAGCCAUGCCGCGUGUGUGAAGAAGGCCUUCGGGUUGUAAAGCACUUUCAGCGGGGAGGAAGGCGUUAAGGUUAAUAACCUUGGCGAUUGACGUUACCCGCAGAAGAAGCACCGGCUAACUCCGUGCCAGCAGCCGCGGUAAUACGGGGGGUGCAAGCGUUAAUCGGAAUUACUGGGCGUAAAGCGCACGCAGGCGGUCUGUCAAGUCGGAUGUGAAAUCCCCGGGCUCAACCUGGGAACUGCAUUCGAAACUGGCAGGCUAGAGUCUUGUAGAGGGGGGUAGAAUUCCAGGUGUAGCGGUGAAAUGCGUAGAGAUCUGGAGGAAUACCGGUGGCGAAGGCGGCCCCCUGGACAAAGACUGACGCUCAGGUGCGAAAGCGUGGGGAGCAAACAGGAUUAGAUACCCUAGUAGUC
RNAcentral lists this ribosomal RNA (465 nucleotides) under uncultured Klebsiella sp. RNAcentral describes it as "bacterial SSU rRNA". It matches the Rfam family "Bacterial small subunit ribosomal RNA", at positions 338 to 795 of the family's 1533-position model. Lineage: Bacteria; Pseudomonadati; Pseudomonadota; Gammaproteobacteria; Enterobacterales; Enterobacteriaceae. The record is from RNAcentral.